UUCAUCUGGUUUCUCUUCAGAUUGUAUAAAUCGUUCGCUUUUUACUAAAGAGUUCCAUGGGGAGGAACAUUUAUGAUGAUGUGGUUUUGUCAGUGGGCCUGGGGACCCCAAA
Protobothrops mucrosquamatus (brown spotted pit viper) is the source of this 112-nucleotide small nuclear RNA. RefSeq annotates it as U5 spliceosomal RNA. The transcript has a single exon. The record is from RefSeq and is a predicted model, not a curated record. NCBI's taxonomy places the organism in Eukaryota, Metazoa, Chordata, Lepidosauria, Squamata, Viperidae.